This 365-nucleotide unclassified non-coding RNA is filed under the name soil metagenome. Its description in RNAcentral is "partial contains 5.8S ribosomal RNA, internal transcribed spacer 2, and large subunit ribosomal RNA". The stretch from base 1 to 120 matches the Rfam family "5.8S ribosomal RNA", at positions 35 to 154 of the family's 154-position model. The record is from RNAcentral.
GAUGAAGAACGUAGCGAAAUGCGAUAAGUAAUGUGAAUUGCAGAAUUCAGUGAAUCAUCGAAUCUUUGAACGCACAUUGCACUCAUUAGUAUUCUAGUGAGUAUGCCUGUUCGAGCGUCAUUUCAACCCUUAAGCCUAGCUUAGUGUUGGGACUCUACCCUAACCGGUAGUUCCCCAAAAUCAGUUGGCGGAGUUCAGUCGGCUCUGAGUGUAGUAAUUUUCUCUCGCUUUAGAAGUCUUCUGGAUUACGGCCAGAAAGAGACGAGUCUCGCAUCUCGGUGCGUUUCUCAACUUUUUUUUACAAUGGUUGAUCUCGGAUCAGGUAGGAAUACCCGCUGAACUUAAGCAUAUCAAUAAGCGGAGGA